RNAcentral lists this ribosomal RNA (254 nucleotides) under uncultured bacterium. RNAcentral describes it as "partial 16S ribosomal RNA". It matches the Rfam family "Bacterial small subunit ribosomal RNA", at positions 524 to 776 of the family's 1533-position model. The record is from RNAcentral.
UACGUAGGGGGCAAGCGUUGUCCGGAAUUAUUGGGCGUAAAGCGCGCGCAGGCGGUUCGUUAAGUUUGGGUGUUUAAUCCCGGGGCUCAACCCCGGUUCGCAUCCAAAACUGAUGAACUUGAGUGUAGGAGAGGAAAGUGGAAUUCCACGUGUAGCGGUGAAAUGCGUAGAGAUGUGGAGGAACACCAGUGGCGAAGGCGAGUCCCUGGACAACACCUGACACUGGAGGCACGAAAGCUAGGGGAGCAAACAGG